This 1743-nucleotide long non-coding RNA is filed under the name Triticum aestivum (bread wheat). RNAcentral describes it as "long non-coding RNA (TAES_LNC017449)". The record is from RNAcentral. Lineage: Eukaryota; Viridiplantae; Streptophyta; Magnoliopsida; Poales; Poaceae.
CCAUCUCCGUUUCAAAUGCCUAAAGGCAAUGAAAAAACUUUGCUGGUCUAGAGUGAGUAAGACGUGCUGGUCUCCUUGGCGCACUUGGCCACCAGUAUUGUCGGUGCGGUCGUCGUCGCCGAUGUACACUGGCAAGAAGUCGCUUGAGUUGGCUAAUCCUGGAGAGGCACAACGACGGGUGAGAGUGUCGGCGCCACAUUAUUUUACAACUGGGUGUUAAACGCAAGUAGAUAGAAAGAAACUGGGACUGGUCGAAAAUGAUUUUCGUGACACUGACAUGAACAAAAAUUGUGGAAAACUUGUGACAAGAUCGCACAUACAAAUAACAUAAAUAAUGUAAAAUGAGGAGAUCAGUACAUCAUGGCAAAGAGUGGGCUCAGAGGCAAGAACACCUAGAACAGAUAAGAAGCAGAUGACUAUUGUAAAAAAACACUAAGAUAUGGUUAUUGACUUCAGAAGCACGUUUAGAUUGACACUGAAUAUAUCAUAGAAGAAAAUAAUAUGAAGGAGGCUGGAUAUCAGAUGUAGUUAACUUUUACGCAACCUCUGAACAUGAUAUAGUGGGCAUUCCUAUAAAACUACCUGCUUACUUCACACUAACCUGGCUAACAGAGAACACAUAUGAGCACAAAGAGGGGCAUUAGUGCUUGCCUACAAUUGUAGUUGGAUAACAUAGUUGUGCAUCAGCAUGUCACACUACAAAGAACAAAAAGGUAGAAUAAGACAGCAGAGGCUUUCCUUGCUUUUCCGUUAGUUCAGAUGCAGGAUCAUCUCAUGCCAACUAUUCUUGAUCAUAAUUAAACAUUAACAUCAACAAUAUGCAAGAGCAUAGUGCAUUCAGUGCAUCAUUUUAUGUUUAUACAAUAUACAUGAUGAUUAAUCAAGUACCAUAUGUUAAGAACUGAAGCCUCUAACAUAAGUUGAAUUUGAAGAUUGCAGAAACGAAGCAGAUGGAACUGCAAAUAGUUUAUAAAAAAAUGAAAACAUAAGUAACAAAGAAGGCCACCUGUAUCUUCAAAUAGCACACAUCCCUGCAAAUCUUCUAAAGCAUUGUGGCAUAUUGUUAAUCCAAAGGACAAUAACAAAAUUCCAAGAACUAAAGGAAGUUGGUGUGGCUCACAUUUAGCUUUAAUUGAAGAUAACAAAUCUGCUUAUGACCAGAUAAUAAAAUACCAGCAAGCUCAUCUAGCUGGAGCCAGCGAGUUCUGAAUGUCGAGUUCUCUAAAGAAAGAAGAGGAAAAUCCUUAGCAAUCUUGAAACUUUUCAGUUCAAAAAGACAUAGUAGUACAGUAGCAUUUUGAGCUAAAGAAAUCUUUAAAUAAGGAAAACUUGCAAUCUGGAAACUUUUCAGUUCAAGAAGGCAUAGUAGUACAAUAACAUUUUGAGCUGAAGAAAUCUUUAAAUAAGGAAAACUUGCUUUGGUGAUGUCCUUGUGUAGGAAUUGCAAAUAAUAAUUCCAAAUUUUUAUUAUACUUUGAAAAAGGAAGCAUCCAUUAUUAAAGCACGAAGAUUUGAGAAAACCAAGCUUAUAAGAAUCUAAUCUAUCAUUUACAACAUAGUAGUGGUACCUGAAAUUAAAAUGUACCAAGACAUGAAAAUUUCACUUUUGCUUUAGAGGACUACAUACAGAAUUCUGAGAUGAUGUGGGAAGAAAGAUCACCGAGCUAUUUCAGAUCCUGUAAAUUGAAGGUAGUUUCAUAUCCUGCAGCCGAAAUAACAUAAAGAAAAAGCAGUUAAAUUAUA